Molecule: ribosomal RNA, 501 nt
Filed under: uncultured bacterium
Lineage: Bacteria
Description: partial 16S ribosomal RNA
Rfam family: Bacterial small subunit ribosomal RNA
Source: RNAcentral
AUUGAACGCUGGCGGCAGGCUUAACACAUGCAAGUCGAGCGGAGAGAGGUAGCUUGCUACUGAUCUUAGCGGCGGACGGGUGAGUAAUGCUUAGGAAUCUGCCUAUUAGUGGGGGACAACAUUUCGAAAGGAAUGCUAAUACCGCAUACGUCCUACGGGAGAAAGCAGGGGAUCUUCGGACCUUGCGCUAAUAGAUGAGCCUAAGUCGGAUUGGCUAGUUGGUGGGGUAAAGGCCUACCAAGGCGACGAUCUGUAGCGGGUCUGAGAGGAUGAUCCGCCACACUGGGACUGAGACACGGCCCAGACUCCUACGGGAGGCAGCAGUGGGGAAUAUUGGACAAUGGGCGCAAGCCUGAUCCAGCCACGCCGCGUGUGUGAAGAAGGCCUUAUGGUUGUAAAGCACUUUAAGCGAGGAGGAGGCUACUUUAGUUAAUACCUAGAGAUAGUGGACGUUACUCGCAGAAUAAGCACCGGCUAACUCUGUGCCAGCCGCCGCAGUAA